Gambusia affinis (western mosquitofish) is the source of this 256-nucleotide long non-coding RNA. RefSeq lists it as uncharacterized. Lineage: Eukaryota; Metazoa; Chordata; Actinopteri; Cyprinodontiformes; Poeciliidae. The record is from RefSeq and is a predicted model, not a curated record. The transcript is spliced from 3 exons.
UGGUUCAGGAUCAGUGAACAUGGAGCCACUAAAGUGUCUGUCGGGAAAGUUUACAGCUUCAAUGCUACUGAGGGAGGAGAGUAUUACUGUGUGGCUACAAAUGAUCUGGGAAAUCAUAAAUCAUCAAUGAGGUUUCUUAGGAUUAAAGGUUCUGGACUUGGUGUUUACACUAAAAUAAAGAUCCUGGGAUCAGUAAUGCUCUAUGGCUCAAUCAUCAUCUUUCAGUGCUGGUUUAGAUUCUCCAAGAGAGACAAAA